UCUGCUGGUCCUACGGCAGCCAUUUCAAAA
Molecule: non-coding RNA, 30 nt
Filed under: Homo sapiens (human)
Lineage: Eukaryota; Metazoa; Chordata; Mammalia; Primates; Hominidae
Source: RNAcentral